CGGACGGGUGAGUAGCACGUGGGGCAAUCUACCUUUCGGUGAGGGAUACCGGCGAGAAAUCGCCGACAAUACCGCAUAUGUUUGGCAACAAACAAAGUCGCAAGACGCCGGAGGAGGAGCCUGCGCCCGAUUAGCUAGUUGGUGGGGUAAGAGCCUACCAAGGCGACGAUCGGUAGCUGGUCUGAGAGGAUGAUCAGCCACACUGGGAUUGAGAACGGCCCAG
Molecule: ribosomal RNA, 223 nt
Filed under: uncultured bacterium
Lineage: Bacteria
Description: partial 16S ribosomal RNA
Rfam family: Bacterial small subunit ribosomal RNA
Source: RNAcentral